This 1087-nucleotide long non-coding RNA is filed under the name Sus scrofa (pig). Its description in RNAcentral is "lncRNA (ENSSSCG00030017506.1)". Lineage: Eukaryota; Metazoa; Chordata; Mammalia; Artiodactyla; Suidae. The record is from RNAcentral.
GGAAUUUUGAAGAAGAAGCUGUGCCCCCAGUCAUGUUCCCAGAUAAGCCCUCGACAUCUCCGCUAUUAAUUCUGUCUCUUUAGCAUGUUUUCAAACUCCACGAAAGCAGUUUUUCCUUAAGAGUAUUUUUCUUUGGAAUUAAGUCUUUUAUCUUUGUCUUGACUUGUGUAUCAGUCAAUGAUUAGCCGUUUGUUAAUGUUAUCUUUUGUGUACUAAAGCGUGAGAUUGUUUAGAGUAAUUAAAUCAUGGGAUGUCUCCCAUACUCAUCUUACUGCUGAUAUGCUUUUCAUCUAAGUGAUAAAAGCUAGACAGACAUUAAUCCACAUCAAAUUGUCUCAUGAUAACUUGAAAAAUUAUGAGAGAAUGUUAUCUAAUCAUGAAAAUAAGUUAAAUUCUUCCUUUUCUAUAGGCAAGAGGGUUUUUUUUUUUCCCCCCUCUAUUUACAAAGCAGACAGAAAAUCAGUGAGAAGGGCCAUUUUUCUAUUCCGUUAUGGGACACAUGAUAUAUUUAUUGUUUUGAAGAUUUGUUUUUUAGAGCCGAUUUGUCAAAAGGACAGCCUGACCCGUGUCUUCUCUGCAUGGCAACUGAAUGCCAAACAAACGUCUCCUUUAUCCCAAAGACAUCGUUCUGUACUAUUUGGGGAGAGGAUGAUGCUUAACUUAGCAGCAGGAACUUACUUGACGGGAGUACCUUCUGAUGGGAAGCUUAUUUCACAGACCUCUGUAGAGAAGAUGUUCUGAGGAACAUUUCAUCUGGGUUGUCAAUACCUUUGUAAUCUAUACCACUGAGAGUCUUGGGGUUGAAUAUUUUGCUUAAGAGGAUCUGGUAUUGUCACCAGGAUUUUCUCACAAGCCAUUGACGCCCCUUCUGUACAUGGAGAUACCCAUGAAGAGAUGAUGACAACUACACCAUGACUGCCACUGGGCCAGCGGCAGUUACGAUGUGCACCCAAUUUCAGAGAUGCAAAAAGGUGAGAAAUACACAUUUUAGAAUCUAUCAAGUAUGGAAAUGUUAUCCCUGGUCAUAAUCUAGGUGCAUUUUUCCAUUUGAAAUAAAAUUGUUUUUCUCCCAUGACCUAGGGGAUUU